GAAAUGCGAUAAGUAGUGUGAAUUGCGGAAUUCAGUGAAUCAUCGAAUCUUUGAACGCACAUUGCGCCCUUUGGUAUUCCUUAGGGCAUGCCUGUUCGAGCGUCAUCUAAACCUUCAAGCCCUGCUUGGUGUUGGGUGCCUGUCCCGCCUCCGCGCGCGGACUCACCUCAAAUCCAUUGGCGGCCCCCGCGUCGGCCACGAGCGCAGCAGAAACGCGAACUCGUGAGCCCGUCCGGGCGGCUCCCAGAAGCUACACCCACCCAGUUUGACCUCGGAUCAGGUAGGGAUACCCGCUGAACUUAAGC
RNAcentral lists this unclassified non-coding RNA (305 nucleotides) under plant metagenome. Its description in RNAcentral is "partial contains 5.8S ribosomal RNA, internal transcribed spacer 2, and large subunit ribosomal RNA". The stretch from base 1 to 105 matches the Rfam family "5.8S ribosomal RNA", at positions 50 to 154 of the family's 154-position model. The record is from RNAcentral.